GGGAAUAUUGGACAAUGGGGGGCAACCCUGAUCCAGCAAUGCCGCGUGUGUGAAGAAGGUCUUCGGAUUGUAAAGCACUUUCGACGGGGACGAUGAUGACGGUACCCGUAGAAGAAGCCCCGGCUAACUUCGUGCCAGCAGCCGCGGUAAUACGAAGGGGGCUAGCGUUGCUCGGAAUGACUGGGCGUAAAGGGCGUGUAGGCGGUUUACACAGUCAGAUGUGAAAUCCCCGGGCUUAACCUGGGAGCUGCAUUUGAUACGUGUAGACUAGAGUGUGAGAGAGGGUUGUGGAAUUCCCAGUGUAGAGGUGAAAUUCGUAGAUAUUGGGAAGAACACCGGUGGCGAAGGCGGCAACCUGGCUCAUGACUGACGCUGAGGCGCGAAAGCGUGGGGAGCAAACAGGAUUAGGAUACCCUGGUAGUCCACGCUGUAAACGAUGUGUGCUAGAUGUUGGGUAACUUUGUUAUUCAGUGUCGCAGUUAACG
RNAcentral lists this ribosomal RNA (485 nucleotides) under uncultured bacterium. RNAcentral describes it as "partial 16S ribosomal RNA". It matches the Rfam family "Bacterial small subunit ribosomal RNA", at positions 357 to 857 of the family's 1533-position model. The record is from RNAcentral.